Salmo salar (Atlantic salmon) is the source of this 1010-nucleotide long non-coding RNA. RefSeq lists it as uncharacterized. The record is from RefSeq and is a predicted model, not a curated record. NCBI's taxonomy places the organism in Eukaryota, Metazoa, Chordata, Actinopteri, Salmoniformes, Salmonidae.
GGCACCCUAUUCCCUAUUUAGUGCUUACAUUUUGACCUGGGCUGAGCGUCCCAAACAGCAUCCUAUAGAGGGCUUGCAAGUACGUCACAAAUCACCUAGCAACCCCCAUGUUGGAAGACCAAACUCAAGUCUGAUGAAAGUCCUCCAAUCAUCCACAUGGCUGGCUGCGUUUUGCUACCACCGGAAACUUUUGGAAGAUUUCCCAUUAUUCCGUUUUUUUCUAAAGACCAAGAAAACAGAGUCAGUGGGAGAACCUAUUCAAAUCCUCAGAGAGCUGUGAAACCCUGUCUGCAGAUGAAGAGGUCCUAAUUAAUGUCUCAAGAGAAUAUACCAUGGAUUAUAUAUUAGCACAUUUUUGUGAAGAAAAAUAGUUUAAAAGUCAUACAAUGUAUAAACGCAUUACAACUGGAGCAGGCCAACCGUGCUGGGUGUGCAGGGUUCUGUUCCAGCCCUGCACUAACACACCUGAUUCAAUGUAUCAAACCUAAUGAAUUAAUAAUCAGGUGUGCUAAAGCUGGACAGGAACAGAAGUCUGCUCCCCCAGUAGAUCAGGGAUCAGUGGAUAAUGAGUUAAUAAGUGUACUAAAGCUGGACUGGAACAGAAGUCUGCUCCCCCAGUAGAUCAGGGAUCAGUGGAUAAUGAGUUAAUAAGUGUACUAAAGCUAGACUAGAACAGAAGUCUGCUCCCCCAGUAGAUCAGGGAUCAGUGGAUAAUGAGUUAAUAAGUGUACUAAAGCUGGACUGGAACAGAAGUAGAUCAGGGAUCAGUGGAGUGAUGUUGGACACCUCUGGUAUUGACAUUUUUUUUGUUCACCUGAAAUUGUUUUAAUAAUAGCAUACGCAUUACUAAAAUGUCUAACCUUUACAUUGGAGUUACUUGUACACUUUGACAUUAUAUGAAAGUGUUGAUUUUUGCAGUUAAGUGUUAACGUAACUAUUAUUCAAGAUGAACUAGUGUUGAUGUUGAUUAAUCACAGAUCACAAUCCUGUAAUAAAGAGGAAUGUGUCUG